Long non-coding RNA from Aricia agestis (brown argus), 98 nucleotides. RefSeq lists it as uncharacterized. The transcript has 3 exons. NCBI's taxonomy places the organism in Eukaryota, Metazoa, Arthropoda, Insecta, Lepidoptera, Lycaenidae. The record is from RefSeq and is a predicted model, not a curated record.
AUCUCUCGCCAGUCGUGUCGGUCUAUUCGUCCUACUGGGUUACGAGAGUAAAAGGAACAGAGUGCUCUUGUGUACUGCGCACACCCUUGGGCACUAUA